AACGAACGCUGGCGGCAGGCCUAACACAUGCAAGUCGAACGCUCGUAGCAAUACGGGAGUGGCAGACGGGUGCGUAACACGUGGGAACAUACCCUUUGGUUCGGAAUAACUCAGGGAAACUUGAGCUAAUACCGGAUAAGCCCGAGAGGGGAAAGAUUUAUCGCCGAAGGAUUGGCCCGCGUCUGAUUAGCUAGUUGGUGAGGUAAUGGCUCACCAAGGCGACGAUCAGUAGCUGGUCUGAGAGGAUGAUCAGCCACACUGGGACUGAGACACGGCCCAGACUCCUACGGGAGGCAGCAGUGGGGAAUAUUGGACAAUGGGCGCAAGCCUGAUCCAGCCAUGCCGCGUGAGUGAUGAAGGCCUUAGGGUUGUAAAGCUCUUUUACCCGGGAAGAUAAUGACGGUACCGGGAGAAUAAGCCCCGGCUAACUUCGUG
This 435-nucleotide ribosomal RNA is filed under the name uncultured bacterium. Its description in RNAcentral is "bacterial SSU rRNA". It matches the Rfam family "Bacterial small subunit ribosomal RNA", at positions 29 to 507 of the family's 1533-position model. The record is from RNAcentral.